RNAcentral lists this ribosomal RNA (253 nucleotides) under uncultured bacterium. RNAcentral describes it as "partial 16S ribosomal RNA". It matches the Rfam family "Bacterial small subunit ribosomal RNA", at positions 524 to 776 of the family's 1533-position model. The record is from RNAcentral.
UACGUAGGGGGCUAGCGUUGUCCGGAUUUAUUGGGCGUAAAGAGCGUGUAGGCGGCCAGAUAGGUCUGCUGUGAAAACUCGAGGCUCAACCUCGAGCUGUCGGCGGAAACCAUUUGGCUAGAGUCCGGAAGAGGAGAGUGGAAUUCCUGGUGUAGCGGUGAAAUGCGCAGAUAUCAGGAAGAACACCCGUGGCGAAAGCGGCUCUCUGGAACGGUACUGACGCUGAGACGCGAAAGCGUGGGGAGCGAACAGG